RNAcentral lists this ribosomal RNA (252 nucleotides) under uncultured bacterium. Its description in RNAcentral is "partial 16S ribosomal RNA". It matches the Rfam family "Bacterial small subunit ribosomal RNA", at positions 524 to 776 of the family's 1533-position model. The record is from RNAcentral.
UACGUAGGGUGCAAGCGUUGUCCGGAAUUAUUGGGCGUAAAGAGCUCGUAGGCGGUCUGUCGCGUCUGCUGUGAAAAUCAGGGCUCAACCCUGGACCUGCAGUGGGUACGGGCAGACUAGAGUGCGGUAGGGGAGAUCGGAAUUCCUGGUGCAGCGGUGAAAUGCGCAGAUAUCAGGAGGAACACCGGUGGCGAAGGCGGGUCUCUGGGCCGAUAUCGACGUGAGGAGCGAAAGCGUGGGGGAGCGAACAGG